AUGUUCCCUUAUUUCCCCCUAUUUUUUCUAAUUUCCCCCCUAUUUUUCCCUUUCCCCCCCAUAUUUUUCCCAUUUCCUCCCAUUUUGCUCAAUUUACCCCAUUUUCUCCCAUUUUCCCCAAUUUUCCCAAUUUUUUACCAUUUUCCUUCAUUUUUCCCCCUUUUCCCCAUUUUCUCCCAUAUUUUCCCAUUUUUCUCCCAUAUUUUCCUUAAUUUACCCCAAUUUUCCCCAUUUUCUCCCAUUUUCCUCAAUUUUUCUCAAAUUUUUCCCAUUUAUCAUCAAUUUUCCCCAUAUAUUCCCAUUUUUCCACAUUUUUUCUCAUUUUUUCUCAUUCUUCCCUGUAUUCUCCCCAAUUCCCUCCAUUUUCCCCCUUGUUUUCCCAUUUUUCUCAAUUUUUUCCAAUUUUUCCCAUUUUCUCCCAAUUUUCCCCAUUUCCUCCCAUUUCCCCCCAAUUUUCCCCACUUUUCCCCCAUAUUAUCCCAAAUUUCCCCCAUUUUUUCCCCAUUUACCCCAAUUUUGCCCCAUUUUCCCCAUUUUCUCCAAAUUUUUCCCGUUUUUUCCCCUUUUUCUAAUUUUUUCCUCAUAUAUCAUCAUUUUCCCACUUUUUUAAUCAAUUUUUUCCUUUUUUUCGCAUUUUUCCCAUUUUUCCUAAUUUUCCCCCAUUUUUUCCCCAUUUCUCCUCCAUAUCCUCCCCAUAUUUUUCCCAAUUCCCCCCAUUUUCCCCAUUUCCCCCAUUUUUCCCAUUUCCACCCCAUUUUUCCCCAAAUUUCUCCCACAUAUUUUUCCCAUCUUCCCCCCAUUUUCCCCAAUUUCUUCAAAUUUUUCCCAAUUUCCCCCCAUUUUCCCCCAUUUUUCCCAUUUCCCCCGAUUUCCCCCCAUUUUUCCCAAUUUCCCACCAUUUCCCCCAUUAUUUCCCCAUUUCUCCCCAUUUCCCCCCAUUUUUCUCCCCAAAUAUUCCCAUUUUUUCCCAUUUUUACCCCAAAUUUUCCUAUUUCCCCCAUUUUUCCCAUUUUCCCCCAUUUUCCCCCCAUUUUUCCCAAUUUCCCCCCAUUUUUCCCUAUUUCCCCCCAUUUCCCCCCAUUUUUCCACAUAUUUUUCCCCAUUUCACCCCAUUUUUCCCAUUUCCCCCCCAUAUUUUUCCCAUUUCCCCCCAUUUUCCCCCCAUUUCCCCCAUUUUCCCCCAAUUUCCCCCCAUUUCCCCCCAUUUUUCUCCCCAAAUUUUCCCGUUUUUUCCCAUUUUUACCCCAAAUUUUCCCGUUUUCCCCGCAUUUUCCCCCAAUUCCCCCCCCAGCCCCCCAUGUCCGCCCCCCCCUCCCCCCUCCCCCCCCCCCUGCACACCCUCACCCUCACCCCUCCCCCCCCUCCCCCCCCAAAUCCCCCCAGGAACCCCCGGAAAACCCCGACAAACCCUCGGAAAAAGCCCCAAAAUCGCCGGAAUUCGCCCCAAACUCCCCGGAGGAGGAGGAGUGGGGGGUGCCCUGGAGCGAGGAGGAGGAGGAGGAGCCCCCCGGGGGAUGGACCCCCGAGCCCCCCGAGAUCCGGCGCCUCUUCGAGGCCAUCGCGCGCGCCGGGACCCUCCCGCUGCGGAGCGGCCCCCUGCCCCGCCGCCAGCCCACCCCGGAGCCCCCCAGCGACCCCGAGGACGGGGGGGACCCCGCCCAGAGCCCCCCGCAGCGGCCCCCCGAGAUCAAGUACACUUUGGGGCCAAAAAGCGGGGUUUUGGGCAAAAAAAUGGGAUUUAUGGGAAAAAAACCCGGCAUUUCUAGGGGGUUUAGGGGCCAUUUUAGGGGGAUUUUUGUGCCAUUUCAGAGGGAAAGUUCAGGGUUUUGGAAGGUUUGGGAUGGAUUUUGGGAGCUUUCAGAUGGAUUUUGGGAGAUUUGGGAUGGAUUUUGGGGGAUUUAG
Taeniopygia guttata (zebra finch) is the source of this 1902-nucleotide long non-coding RNA. NCBI's taxonomy places the organism in Eukaryota, Metazoa, Chordata, Aves, Passeriformes, Estrildidae. The record is from Ensembl.